GCUCGAGUGGCGGAAUUGGUAGACGCGCUGGAUUCAAAAUCCAGUGUUUUAGGACGUGCGGGUUCGAUUCCCGCCUCGAGUACAA
This 85-nucleotide transfer RNA is filed under the name Aequorivita antarctica. RNAcentral's name for it is "tRNA-Leu". It matches the Rfam family "tRNA". Rfam says of the family: Transfer RNA (tRNA) molecules are approximately 80 nucleotides in length. Their secondary structure includes four short double-helical elements and three loops (D, anti-codon, and T loops). Further hydrogen bonds mediate the characteristic L-shaped molecular structure. tRNAs have two regions of fundamental functional importance: the anti-codon, which is responsible for specific mRNA codon recognition, and the 3' end, to which the tRNAs corresponding amino acid is attached (by aminoacyl-tRNA synthetases). tRNAs cope with the degeneracy of the genetic code in two manners: having more than one tRNA (with a specific anti-codon) for a particular amino acid; and 'wobble' base-pairing, i.e. permitting non-standard base-pairing at the 3rd anti-codon position. RNAcentral also lists the same sequence under 2 other names. Lineage: Bacteria; Pseudomonadati; Bacteroidota; Flavobacteriia; Flavobacteriales; Flavobacteriaceae. The record is from RNAcentral.